Long non-coding RNA from Oncorhynchus keta (chum salmon), 776 nucleotides. RefSeq lists it as uncharacterized. The transcript has 3 exons. The record is from RefSeq and is a predicted model, not a curated record. NCBI's taxonomy places the organism in Eukaryota, Metazoa, Chordata, Actinopteri, Salmoniformes, Salmonidae.
CAUCUCUGUUUUAGUGAUUCACUAUAGUGAAGGCUCAGGUUUACCCAUACAUCUCUGUUUUAGUGAUUCACUAUAGUGAAGGCUCAGGUUUACCCAUACAUCUCUGUUUUAGUGAUUCACCAUAGUGAAGGCUCAGGUUUACCCAUACAUCUCUGGUUUAGUGAUUCACUAUAGUGAAGGCUCAGGUUUACCCAUACAUCUCUGUUUUAGUGAUUCACUAUAGUGAAGGCUCAGGUUUACCCAUACAUCUCUGUUUUAGUGAUUCACUAUAGUGAAGGCUCAGGUUUACCCAUACAUCUCUGUUUUAGUGAUUCACUAUAGUGAAGGCUCAGGUUUACCCAUACAUCUCUGUUUUAGUGAUUCACUAUAGUGAAGGCUCAGGUUUACCCAUACAUCUCUGUUUUAGUGAUUCACUAUAGUGAAGGCUCAGGUUUACCCAUACAUCUCUGUUUUAGUGAUUCACUAUAGUGAAGGCUCAGGUUUACCCAUACAUCUCUGUUUUAGUGAUUCACUAUAGUGAAGGCUCAGGUUUACCCAUACAUCUCUGUUUUAGUGAUUCACUAUAGUGAAGGCUCAGGUUUACCCAUACAUCUCUGUUUUAGUGAUUCACUAUAGUGAAGGCUCAGGUUUACCCAUACAUCUCUGUUUUAGUGAUUCACUAUAGUGAAGGCUCAGGUUUACCCAUACAUCUCUGUUUUAGUGAUUCACUAUAGUGAAGGCUCAGGUUUACCCAUACAUCUCUGUUUUAGUGAUUCACUAUAGUGAAGGCUCAGGUU